Molecule: ribosomal RNA, 466 nt
Filed under: uncultured bacterium
Lineage: Bacteria
Description: SSU rRNA
Rfam family: Bacterial small subunit ribosomal RNA
Source: RNAcentral
AGGAUUAACGCUGGCGGCGUGCCUAACACAUGCAAGUCGAACGAGGUAGCAAUACCUAGUGGCAGACGGGUGAGUAACGCGUGGUCAACCUACCGUUGAGUGGGGGAUAACUAGCCGAAAGGUUAGCUAAUACCGCAUACGAGUUUCGGGGGCAUCCCUGAUUCUUAAAAGGAGCAAUCCGCUCGAUGACGGGACCGCGUCCCAUUAGCUAGAUGGUGGGGUAACGGCCUACCAUGGCACCGAUGGGUAGCUGGUUUGAGAGAGCGACCAGCCACACUGGGACUGAGAAACGGCCCAGACUCCUACGGGAGGCAGCAGUGAGGAAUUUUCCGCAAUGGGCGAAAGCCUGACGGAGCGACGCCGCGUGUGGGAAGAAGGCCUUCGGGUCGUAAACCACUGUCGAAGGGGACGAUAAUGACGGUACCCUUGGAGGAACGCCCCGGCUAACCUACGCGCCAGCAGCCGC